AUUGAACGCUGGCGGCAGGCCUAACACAUGCAAGUCGAACGGUAACAGGAAGAAGCUUGCCUCUUUGCUGACGAGUGGCGGACGGGUGAGCAAUGUCUGGGAAACCGUCUGAUGGAGGGGGAAAAUCACUGGACACGGUAGCUAAUACCGCAUAACGUCGCAAGACCUAAGUGGGGGACCUUCGGGCCUCUUGCCAUCGGAUGUGCCCAGAUGGGAUUAGCUAGUAGGUGGGGUAACGGCUCACCUAGGCGACGAUCCCUAGCUGGUCUGAGAGGAUGACCGGCCACACUGGAACUGAGACACGGUCCAGACUCCUACGGGAGGCAGCAGUAGGGAAUAUUGCGCAAUGGGCGCAAGCCUGAUGCAGCCAUGCCGCGUGUAUGAAGAAGGCCUUCGGGUUGUAAAGUACUUUCAGCGGGGAGGAAGGGAGUAAAGUUAAUACCUGUACUCAUUGACGUUACCCGCAGAAGAAGCACCGGCUAACUCCGUG
RNAcentral lists this ribosomal RNA (490 nucleotides) under uncultured bacterium. RNAcentral's name for it is "partial 16S ribosomal RNA". It matches the Rfam family "Bacterial small subunit ribosomal RNA", at positions 30 to 507 of the family's 1533-position model. The record is from RNAcentral.